AUCCUAUCUCCCAGUCACAUAAGUCAAUUUUCAUGCCUAAGGACAAUAAGAGGAAAGGUCAGAAAGAGGCCCAGAAUUAAUACUUUUUGGACUUUCUUCACAGAAAUAACAUGUGGAAUAUGAGGAGAAAGUAUUCUUUAGCAAAAGCAGGAAUUGUUUAAGAAAGCUUGAAAUGUUUAACCCGAAGAAGUAAAUAUUUUUAGGACUCAACUUGCUGAAGAAAAUCUUGCCAGUGAAAAAUAAGUCAACAGAGUCUAGCAUGUUUUCAACCACGAGCUGGGGAAAGAACAAUGGUUUCUGAUGAAAGAGAGAGAGAAGCAGAUAUAGAGACGGAGAGACAGAGACAAAAUGAAUCCAUCAUAUUCAGCUGACAAAACCUAUUCAGGGAACUGCCCACCUUAGAUUCUUCAGGACAUGGACAUUCCACAUACAACAAUUUAAAUGUUACAUGAUUUAUGAGUCAAUGUGAAAAAUAAGGAAAACUUAUUUUACAUCAAUUAAUAAAAUUGCACCAAGAAAUCCUCAUUGAUAUCAGGAAGAAGACACACUUUUACCAGAAACUGUGUAAGUGUGCCUGGCAGCUGGGACUUAUGAAAAUACAAGGAAUUAAUACCAAAAACACCCUUAUAACACCUUGUGUUGUCUUUUAUUGUUACUUGGCAAAUGCCAAGGUUCUUUGCCCUUGUUCAUGGUUUUGUACUUUUGAGAUUAUUUCUCUCUCCUAUNAUACAGAAAAACACCCAGUGCUCAUCCCGUCAAGUGUCCACCUCAGUGCCCGGUUUUGUACUUUUGAGAUUACUUCUCUCUCCUACAGGGGCUAUGAAGCUUAGAAUGUUCCUGCCCUGAAUACUGAUUUCUAACAAGUUGG
RNAcentral lists this long non-coding RNA (868 nucleotides) under Vulpes vulpes (red fox). Its description in RNAcentral is "lncRNA (ENSVVUG00000019227.1)". Lineage: Eukaryota; Metazoa; Chordata; Mammalia; Carnivora; Canidae. The record is from RNAcentral.